Molecule: ribosomal RNA, 434 nt
Filed under: uncultured bacterium
Lineage: Bacteria
Description: bacterial SSU rRNA
Rfam family: Bacterial small subunit ribosomal RNA
Source: RNAcentral
ACUCCUACGGGAGGCAGCAGUAGGGAAUCUUCCACAAUGGACGAAAGUCUGAUGGAGCAACGCCGCGUGAACGAUGAAGGCUUCGGUCGUAAAGUUCUGUUGUAAGGGAAGAACAAGUGCCGCAGGCAAUGGCGGCACCUUGACGGUACCUUGCGAGAAAGCCACGGCUAACUACGUGCCAGCAGCCGCGGUAAUACGUAGGUGGCAAGCGUUGUCCGGAAUUAUUGGGCGUAAAGCGCGCGCAGGCGGCCUCUUAAGUCUGAUGUGAAAGCCCCGGCUCAACCGGGGGAGGGGCCAUUGGAAACUGGGAGGCUUGAGUAUAGGAGAGAAGAGUGGAAUUCCACGUGUAGCGGUGAAAUGCGUAGAGAUGUGGAGGAACACCAGUGGCGAAGGCGACUCUUUGGCCUAUAACUGACGCUGAGGCGCGAAAGCGU